RNAcentral lists this ribosomal RNA (463 nucleotides) under uncultured bacterium. Its description in RNAcentral is "bacterial SSU rRNA". It matches the Rfam family "Bacterial small subunit ribosomal RNA", at positions 339 to 794 of the family's 1533-position model. The record is from RNAcentral.
UUACGGAAGGCAGCAGUGGGGAAUUUUGGACAAUGGGCGCAAGCCUGAUCCAGCCAUUCCGCGUGCAGGAUGAAGGCCUUCGGGUUGUAAACUGCUUUUGUACGGAACGAAACGGCGCUUUCUAAUACAGAGCGCUAAUGACGGUACCGUAAGAAUAAGCACCGGCUAACUACGUGCCAGCAGCCGCGGUAAUACGUAGGGUGCAAGCGUUAAUCGGAAUUACUGGGCGUAAAGCGUGCGCAGGCGGUGAUGUAAGACAGAUGUGAAAUCCCCGGGCUCAACCUGGGAACUGCAUUUGUGACUGCAUCGCUGGAGUGCGGCAGAGGGGGAUGGAAUUCCGCGUGUAGCAGUGAAAUGCGUAGAUAUGCGGAGGAACACCGAUGGCGAAGGCAAUCCCCUGGGCCUGCACUGACGCUCAUGCACGAAAGCGUGGGGAGCAAACAGGAUUAGAUACCCUGGUAGG